UGAACUACACAACUCGAAAGUGGGCUUCACCAUGUCCAUGACACUUAUGUCUAAAAUUUCGGCAGUGCAACUUCCUCGAGUGAGAGCCAAGAAACUAAAGGGUGUUCAUGGCAAAGCUGAGGCAGGAUGCCAAUUCGUUUGUUUCACAAAUGGCCUGUGGUUGUCUAAAACAACUACAGCCUCAUCCAUAUAACAUGCUAUUGCCUGACAUAAAAUUUUGAAAUGAAGGUAACCACUCCAGUACUCCAAUAAGUGUAUGCUCACCUGAAAAGCAGGAAGCACUCUGAUGUAAAAUUAAAGAGUAGGGGCUUUAAACAGAAGAAUUGCAUGUCUCUCUUGUGACAGUUAAUGCCAGAAAAAUUACACUAAAGCCAUGGGCCACAAAAUGGAAACUUUUAGUGCGAAAGUCUUGUAGUGUAAAUUUAGCACGAAUAUUCGAUAUUCCGUUUGGUAUUCAGAAUUUUUUCCCCAUUCAAUUCGACAUUCCAUUCGACUUAAAAUAUUCGGAUUCACACACCCCUACUAAUUACACAAGAUACGCCCGCUGUCAUACAGAUGGUGCUUAACAGAUCACUAUACAUGCCAUCCUAAUUUUAAUCUUGCAGCCUCCCAGCUUCAGCUUCUCUGUGUCAGCCGCAUAGUCCUCGUCCCAGGGCGUUAGCGCCCUCAUGCUCCUCUCUGGGUUUGUUUGCCGUGGCUGGCCCGUCCACAGACUACGAGCUCCAUCUCCUCCAUGACAUCUCCUGGAUCCUGGUUCCAGGGUGUCCGAUGCUCUCAAGCUCCUCCCUCGGCCCUUUCUCUUGGCAGGCCCCCUCCACAGGACAGCUUCUAAGGCCUUCUGGGUCGCACCUCUUCCUCGCGGCAGCUUUCGAAUAAUAUCUUCUCUAGCCUUUUUCUUCCCAUGCAACUUUCAGAUUGGUAAGCUGUAUGUGUUUUUCUAAUCUUAAUUGUAGCCUCUGAGCACCAGCUGCUGAUGUCCCUUCAGUACUGCCUCCAGGCAGUAUGAAGCCUUCAGGCUCCUGCGUGGGACAGUGUCCUGUGUCUGGCCAUUCUAGAAGUGAGCCUCUAAGGCCUCCUGCGUCGCACCUGUUCCUCAGGGCUGCGUUCAGAUGCUAUCUCCCCUAGCCUCUUUCCUGUUACGCUACUUUCACCUUGGGGAGCUGUAUGUGUCUGUAUGUGUUAUCCCAAUCUUAAUCUUGCGGCCUCUGAGCUCCAUCUCCUCUGUGAUGGCCCACAGUCCUGGGUCCAGGUCAUCAGACGCCCUCAGGCUUCUUCCUAGGUGUGUUUCUAGUGGCUGGACGCUCUGCAGGUCAGCUUCUAGGGCCUCACCUCUUCCUCACGGCUAUGUCAGAAUGCUAUCUCCCAUGUCCUCUUUCUUGUCUUGCAACUUUCACCUUGGAGAGCUGUACAUGUUGUCAUUCUGGGCUCUCGAAAGAACAGUCUACCUUGUCUGACAACCAGAACACCUUUGUGUUAAAAGUUAUUGUUUCAGAAGGCGAAACCAAGGGGUGGAGAACCACCCAGAAGCCCCGGCAGUAACUGAUAUCUGUUGUGGGUCGAUAUCAAAGUGGGUCGAGCUCUAUCCUGAGCUGAAGUUGGUGUCAGUUCUGACCUGGGACCGACUGCUGGAUGGCUUUCCUCGGUUUGGAUUCCCGAACCAGCUUAUCACGGAUAACGCCUUGUACUCUGCAUGUAAGGCGUUCAUCGAUACCUGCCCAGGAGUGAGUAUCUGACAUAAGCCAGGCACCCCCUCUAUCACCCGCAUGUAAACAUAUAUGUGACGUAACACGCUACAUAACACAUACUACCUCAGUACUACCUGUGUAACACACUCCCUCAGUUAUAACUGAGGUAGGUGUCAAUGUUUUUUAGUUGUGGAUUCAAUACAUAUGUAUGGACAUUAUUUAAAUGAUCUUGGAAAGACUAACACCAUCAGACGACCCUCAAUGACCCUGUCUCCGUUAACAAUUCUCGGAAUUGCAGAAAAAGCAUUGUGUCUUGAUACCAUAGCUGAUCUCCCACUGCGCUGCACUGUUCAUUAUGCACAUUUUCACGACCCUGUAUGAAGGACACACGAUUUCCAUGCUCAUAAAGUAUUUUCCAUAAUCACACGUUAAGUGUUCAUGAGUACUCACAGCAGUUUAGGUUUUUACUGUAACAAAAUGUACCACAGCUCUUACCUCACAGUCGGACAUGAUAGGAAAUAGUACACUCAUGUUUGAAUGCUGCGUCUUGACACAGAAGUGAACAUUACUGCAUUAACCAUUGCCUGUGGUGCCAAAGUAUCACACCAAAUUACCCCAACCCUUGAGUUCCUCCUGGUGCUAUUUCUUUUGAGGAACAAAAAUGGGGAAACUUGCUUAUUAGAUGACCCUCAUUAUUUUAUUCCACUUUCUCCCUUUGCCUACAUAUUUCAGUUUCCUUAUGGUGACUCUAGUGGAUACCUUAUUGAACAUGGAAGACUUGAGUAAUACCUUUAUGCAAUACUAUUUCAUAGUCUGCCGUCAUUUAAUUCAGUUUCCUGCAGGUAUUUGGUGCAAUUGAACUUCAGGCCAUCUACACAACGCCUAAAAUUAGACGUCUAUUUUCAGAAGUCUGCCAGGCGUCUUGUUGAUCCCUAAAGUCUUAGGUUGGAACAGAUUGGGAUGGCUAUCAUGUGCUGCCAGUGUGGCUACUGCAGAACACAACGCUUGUAAUCGGGUGCUACAAACAACAGGAAGUACUACGGCGACACCACAUGACGACCUGAAACUGCAUCGCAGUUAAGGGAGUUCCUUAAAAGUAACAACUUUCAGAGGCGGGCGUUGCAGCUGACGUUUUCCGACAUCAUAAAAUGAAAACAACAUGUGCCGCGUGCGAGAGCCGCGGCUUUCACAACGAAGAUUGCUGAUAGAGUAGUGCUCGACUUGCAUCCAUUCAGCAUUGUUGAAGACGAAGGAUUCCAGGGCCUUAUGAAAGAUGCUGCUCCAGGCUAUGAAUUGCCAUCCAGGACGUUGUUCAAGAAGGGUCGUGCAGUGCCUCUACCAUGACACAAGAGAGCAAGUCGAGGGCGAGUUGAAGAAGGCAUGUGAUGAUGAGACCAGCGCAGUAGCAUUUACGGCCGACAUGUCGACGUUGCGAGCAACCGCAGUUUUCUCCAUGCCAUUGGAAUGGAAGCGCAGCUAGCGUGUGCCAACACCCAUACAUGGGAGGAGGGAGCUGGAGCCAUGGUUUCGUUGCUGUUGACCUUUACACUCACUUUGAAGAACUUUGAUGCAUAUGUAAUCCUCACCUUAUCACCCUUCUACUCAAGCUGUUAAGAUAAUUCUUCGGUACACCAGAACCAUGUGAAUGCCUGCUUCUCCCCAGUGGUACACCUUCUGCUGUGGUUAUUUAUGAAGUUGUUUGCUGGUCAGAAUGCAGUGGUUCUGUGUUGAAGGUGCCCUGGUCAGUGCUAUAUUCCGCCUCCUGCCACCACUGCUAAGAGAGAAGACAGAUGGAUACAUCAAGAAGUUGGUAACCUACUUCAACUGAGUCCAGUACAUGACAAUCGCUACAAGGAGAUGGGCUUCGGGUUCGAUGACCACAUAAGCCGGGAGAGGACCAUGUGUAUCCUACCAUCAUC
Molecule: long non-coding RNA, 3604 nt
Organism: Ornithodoros turicata
Lineage: Eukaryota; Metazoa; Arthropoda; Arachnida; Ixodida; Argasidae
Exons: 8
Source: RefSeq, a predicted model, not a curated record